CACCAAGGUACACACAGCAGGUACCCAUCUCAUCCUCUACUCCUGUUAGGUAGAUGAGAUCCUUCGCAGACAUUCAUACCAGGACUGGUUCUGCGUCAGGUAUCAUUACGUCGCUAAAAGUAGCGUCAGUAACUCAAGUAGCACCAACAUAUCUUCCAAUCCAGAAUGCUGAAAGAGUGACAUGUCCAGAGAUCCUUAGGUGAAGUUGCAUAGCGGUCUCAGGCAUUAUCCACAACACCAGGUGGGGUCCCCAAAGUACAACAGCGGUUGCUGGGCCAAGCAUUCCCUCCGACCUCACUUGUCUGUAUCCAAGGUACUAACCCUCACGCACUUGCUCGUAUAAGAUUCUGGGAAUCACUGAGAUGUAAACACUGUGCUUACUGGCCUGAUGGGCCUUUGUAUAGUUACGACCCUCCUUUCACCGCCUACCCAGCUUCCACCACUGGUUAACAAUGGCCAAGGUCGUAUGUACAGAAGCAGUAGAAAUCUCACAAGUGUUAUCGAAUUACCACGACGAUUGUUAUCAGAGUACAGACAAACAACAAGCAGAUGAGUGACGGGCAGCAUGUUGUGUGUGAGAAUCGAUAUCAAGACUCCAGUAAAACACAUUUUCGACUCUGGGUGCCAAAGUUCUACUGUCUUGCUGUAGACGGUGCAUCCCCAAUGUAUUAGAGACAUACCACCAGCGUGAAAAGGCCAGUACCCGGAUAUGAAAUGUGUAACCCCAGAGCUUCAGUAGCCUACCCUUAGGAUAUCAAAAGCUUAUCCAAAGUAUCAACAACCCAGCCUAGCAUGCCAAAAGUCUAGUCCCAUGGUGUUAACUGCAUAGUUCUAGGUGUAAACGGUUUAGCCCUUGGAUGUCAAAAGCCUAACCCCAUGGUGAUAACAGAAUAUCCCUAAGUUGCCAACUUCUUAGCCUGAAUAUAUUAACAACUUAACCCUGGAAUUAAAAAAGUAUAACGCUCGUCUUUCAUCGGCAGCCACAGAGCCCAAACAUACCUACUUCGGACCCCAGCACUCAUCAAACAACUGCCCCUUGGCUUUCUGUGCCCAGGGACAACAGUACCUCUAGACCCCUCCAUGUUGGGCCCUUCCCAUGGGUGCUACACUCAGAUUCCUCAUACCUUCACACACAUAAAUGCUUAAUGUUUAUGAUUCAUCACUUAAUUCUUGCUGAGUUUAGAAACCCAGAUGUUUUUUUAAUAAGUGAAAGUAAAAUAACUUUUCAACAAGGGGAAAUUCAAAUUUCAUCCCAAGGAAGAGCACAUUUUAGUCAGUAGUAUCUCAGUCCAGAUCUAGAAGUCCGGAUCCCUGAUCCAACACUUCUUAAGUUGAAGAUCUUUGGAAUUUUAAGGCAUCAUAAUUCGAGAAUCAUAGAGAAUGGCUCUUGAUCAAAGAAUAACCUCCUAACAAGUUCAUAGGAGUUAAUGAUACAGGUGGUCCAUACGGUCCAUACCCAGUUAAGACUCUCCCUAAUUAGGACAAAAAACUGUAGCCCAACUCUGCCAGACUCAAUAAGAGUGUAGGGCUGUAGCAGUGGUGCAUCAUGCAACUUGGGGAGGGGGCGCGGCAGGUGGGACAGCCUUGUUGGAGCCACGCUCAGUGCAGGCGCUCACAGGAACACUCACACUGCACUGACCUCAUCUGUACUUGUAAUAGCGGGUUUCAUAACCAUGGAGGGAGGUGCUCUCGGAACUUCUGGGAGGACUUAGGGCUGCAGCAGUGGGAACUCCUGCUGGUGGCGCUCGUCAUCACCCUGGUGUUCCUUGCUAUCUUCAUGGGCUGCAUGUAUUUCUUCGUCUCGAAACUCGCCAGAAGGUACCGCCAGACUAUACCUGCGGAUGGGCUGGUCCCCAGCAGCUUCCAAGGCAGCGUCCCCAGCAGCAAGAUAAACAGCAUCGCAGACGGCAGCCUGAAGAGCAUUCGUGUCCUGGAGACUCAGCUAGUGGGCGGGGCGAUGGUGGAGAGCCAGAUGGUGGAGCGGAAGACGUUGACAGGUCAGCAGGGGAGCAGAGAGUUGGUGCUUGACGUUGACAAGUUGUGGCCUGCGUCACUCACGCUGCCAGCCACACAAUUCAUCCUUCCUCUCGAUUACCAACAUAACACCACUGGUAACGGCAGCCUAACCAUGGAUAUGUGUAUACCCAAGAGCUGCAUUAAUAUUCCCUUUUUAGAAAAUUAUCAACCAAUGAAAAUGAUGAAUGGACGCAUGUCUGGACAGAGUACAUCAAGCUUGUCCCGGAAGAGCAGCAACAUAUCGUGGUCUUCGCGUGGGUGGGAGUCACUCACCACUGACACUGAGUCUGAAUUAUAUAACUCCAACAGACGACAGUUCCGUGCUGCCUCCGCCAGGAGAGACGCUGGCAAGACCUACCGUCCUCUGCUCCUCAGGACCUCCACUUUUUCCGAGAGUGAUGAGUCACCAUGAGCGCUAUAGUCUUCUGACACAUCAAUUCUAGGAUUUCUGCUGUUUAUUAUUUUAUUUAUUUCUUCACAUCAGUCUCAUUAUAGUUCAGCAGAGUCUUAGACAAACAAGUGGCGUAGUGGAGAGUUGAAGAGGGAGGCUACUGAGGUGCAGGCGAGGGUAUGGGCGAGUCGGUGGUUGAGGUAGGCUGUGGUCUGGAGAUGUCGAUGACUGAGGUGAGUUGCUGUCAGAUUUCUUGAAAUAUGAGAGCAAUGACUUUUGGGUGCAUUUCAUUUUCUUUUCUCGCAGGAUUUCUUUGUAGCACUGCAUAGCCGAAAGUACAUUUCUAUUAACUUUUAAGCUACGAUCACUAUUUAUAUCGUCUUCAUCUAUAAUAGCCAAACCAUGCUCAAUUAAAGUGAAUGCCUCUGUCAACCGCUUUGCUGUUAAGAGUUCAAACGACCUCAGGCUCCUCUUUCUUCUCUGCUUCCUCAUCUUCUCGCUCUUUUUCUAAGUCAAGUAAAUCUUGGGGCCAAAGUUCUUUAUGUGAGUCAAAUAACUCCUGCACGUCAUCAACUCCACCUCUUGAAGACCUACUUUCUUUGCCAAACUCACAAUGUUUUCUCUGGAUUUACACAGAUCACUUUCAAUACUAAAACUUCUAAAGUCAUGCACAAGAUGUGGACACAGUUUUUUCCAAACUCCAUUCAUACAUGAACGACUAACUUUGUCCCAUGCCUCACCAACAAACAUUAUAGUCUCUUAAUGUUAAAAGAUUUCCAGAAUUCUUUAAGUCAUUUUUCCAUCAUCAGUAGCCUUCACUACAGCAUCAAAUGUUUUGUUGAGAUAAUAAGCCUUAUAUGUACUAAUCACUCCUUGAUCCAAAGGCUGAAUGAGGGAUGUCGUAUUUGGUGGAAGAUAGACAACUUGAAUGUUUUCACAAAGAUCUUGAAAUGAAGGUCGAUAUCUGGGGAAGUGUUAUCCACUAGCAUUAAUAUUUUAAAAGAAAGAUUCUCACGUUCACAAUAUUCAUGUAACUCAUCUUUCAGCUUUGACACAACAUUAUCACAGAAAAGACUAUUAGUAAUUCACCUCUUGUUAUUUGAAAAGUAGUGAACUGGUAAGAGAUGUUUAGGAUAACCCUUGAGAGCAUGUGGGUUUGCAGAGUGGGACACCAUCACUGGUUUUCAUUUGCAGUCACCUUCAGCAUUACCUCCAAACAAUAAGGUACAGUGACCCCUCGUUUAACGAACGCCUCGGUUAACGAACUGCCUUCCAUAAGGAUCUUCAGUUCGGUUAACGAACAAAAAUUCGGUUAAUGAA
RNA transcript from Homarus americanus (American lobster), 3727 nucleotides. RefSeq lists it as uncharacterized. NCBI's taxonomy places the organism in Eukaryota, Metazoa, Arthropoda, Malacostraca, Decapoda, Nephropidae. The transcript has 8 exons. The record is from RefSeq and is a predicted model, not a curated record.